Molecule: small nuclear RNA, 167 nt
Organism: Suncus etruscus (white-toothed pygmy shrew)
Lineage: Eukaryota; Metazoa; Chordata; Mammalia; Eulipotyphla; Soricidae
Product: U1 spliceosomal RNA
Exons: 1
Source: RefSeq, a predicted model, not a curated record
AUACUUACAUGGUAGGGGAGAUACCAUGAUCAUGAAGGUGGUUUCCCCAGGGUGAGGCUCAACCAUUGCACUCGGGGUGUGCUGACCCCUGCGAUUUCCUCAAACGUGGGAAACUCAACUGCAUAAUUUGUGGUAGUGGGAACUGCCUUAAAGCUCUUAAAUUUCUA